This 313-nucleotide long non-coding RNA is filed under the name Crocodylus porosus (Australian saltwater crocodile). Its description in RNAcentral is "lncRNA (ENSCPRG00005006968.1)". Lineage: Eukaryota; Metazoa; Chordata; Crocodylia; Crocodylidae. The record is from RNAcentral.
AUUACUGAGACACAGUGAAACCUGCAUGAGUUUGGAUUGGAUGACUUCCAGUUUUGUAUUUUUAUGGUUAUGUUUCACACAGCAUGGUUUCUUGUAUGAUGUAUGCAAGUGAAUUCAGGAAAAUUCUAAGCAAUCUCUGCUGUCCGUCAACCAGUGACAACAAUCAAAAAGCCAUAAAACCUCAGAUGCCUACUCACUGAUAAUGAGGAAGCAGGCCAAAAAAGAGGAGAUAGAAAAACAUUUUUCCAUGUGUCUUGAGGAGUGAGGUGAGUACAUACAAAGAACUAUUGAAUAAAAUAAAUUGUUUAAAUCA